RNAcentral lists this ribosomal RNA (253 nucleotides) under uncultured bacterium. Its description in RNAcentral is "partial 16S ribosomal RNA". It matches the Rfam family "Bacterial small subunit ribosomal RNA", at positions 524 to 776 of the family's 1533-position model. The record is from RNAcentral.
GACAGAGGAUGCAAGCGUUAUCCGGAAUGAUUGGGCGUAAAGCGUCUGUAGGUGGCUUUUCAAGUCCGCCGUCAAAUCCCAGGGCUCAACCUUGGACAGGCGGUGGAAACUACCAAGCUAGAGUACGGUAGGGGCAGAGGGAAUUUCCGGUGGAGCGGUGAAAUGCAUUGAGAUCGGAAAGAACACCAACGGCGAAAGCACUCUGCUGGGCCGACACUGACACUAAGAGACGAAACCUAGGGGAGCAAAUGGG